GUUUACGGCCAUACCAGCCUGGGUACGCCCGAUCUCGUCUGAUCUCGGAAGCUAAGCAUUGUCGGGCCGGUUAGUACUUGGAUGGGAGACCGCCUGGGAAUACCAGGUGCUGUAAGCU
Molecule: ribosomal RNA, 118 nt
Filed under: Salmo trutta (river trout)
Lineage: Eukaryota; Metazoa; Chordata; Actinopteri; Salmoniformes; Salmonidae
Source: RNAcentral